GAUGAGGAACGUAGCGAAAUGCGAUACGUAAUGUGAAUUGCAGAAUUCAGUGAAUCAUCGAAUCUUUGAACGCAUAUUGCGCUCUCUGGUAUUCCGGAGAGCAUGCUUGUUUGAGUAUCAGUAAACACCUCAACUUCCAUAUCUUUUUUGAAAUGGGAGUUGGACUUGAGUGAUCCCAACGCUUUUCCUCACCGAAAAGUGGCGGGUUACUUGAAAUGCAGGUGCAGCUGGACUUUUCUCUGAGCUAUAAGCAUAUCUAUUUAGUCUGCCUAAAAAACAGAUUAUUACCUUUGCUGCAGCUAACAUAAAGGAGAUUAGUUCUUGUGCUGACUGAUGCAGGAUUCACAAAGACGGCUUCGGCCGACUUUGUAAACUCGAUCUCAAAUCAAGUAAGACUACCCGCUGAACUUAAGCAUAUCAAUAAGCGGAGGA
Molecule: unclassified non-coding RNA, 432 nt
Filed under: soil metagenome
Description: partial contains 5.8S ribosomal RNA, internal transcribed spacer 2, and large subunit ribosomal RNA
Rfam family: 5.8S ribosomal RNA (bases 1-120)
Source: RNAcentral